RNAcentral lists this ribosomal RNA (495 nucleotides) under uncultured bacterium. RNAcentral describes it as "partial 16S ribosomal RNA". It matches the Rfam family "Bacterial small subunit ribosomal RNA", at positions 28 to 507 of the family's 1533-position model. The record is from RNAcentral.
GACGAACGCUGGCGGCGUGCCUAAUACAUGCAAGUAGAACGCUGAAGGAGGAGCUUGCUCUUCUGGAUGAGUUGCGAACGGGUGAGUAACGCGUAGGUAACCUGCCUGGUAGCGGGGGAUAACUAUUGGAAACGAUAGCUAAUACCGCAUAAGAGUAGAUGUUGCAUGACAUUUGCUUAAAAGGUGCAAUUGCAUCACUACCAGAUGGACCUGCGUUGUAUUAGCUAGUUGGUGGGGUAACGGCUCACCAAGGCGACGAUACAUAGCCGACCUGGGAGGGUGAUCGGCCACACUGGGACUGAGACACGGCCCAGACUCCUACGGGAGGCAGCAGUAGGGAAUCUUCGGCAAUGGACGGAAGUCUGACCGAGCAACGCCGCGUGAGUGAAGAAGGUUUUCGGAUCGUAAAGCUCUGUUGUAAGAGAAGAACGAGUGUGAGAGUGGAAAGUUCACAAUGUGACGGUAUCUUACCAGAAAGGGACGGCUAACUACGUG